UUUGUUUAUUUUUUUGUUGGGUUUUUUUUGUGUUUUUUUGAGAUGGCGUCUCGCUCUGUCACCAGGCUGGAGUGGGGUGGCGCCAUCUCAGCUUACUGCAACCUCCGACUCCCGGGUUCAAGCUAUUCUCCUGGUUCAGCCUCCCGAGUAGCUGGGAUUACAAGCACGUGCCACCAUGCCCAGCUAAUUUUUGUAUUUUUAGUAGAGACGGGGUUUCACCAUGUUGGCCAGGCUGGUGUCGAACUCCUGACUUAAAGUAACCCGCCUGCCUUGGCCUCCCAAAGUGCUUGGAUUACAGGCGCCGAGGCAGGUGGAUCACCUGAGGUCAGGAGUUGGAGAUCAGCCUGGCCAACAGGGCAAAACCUCAUCUCUACUAAAAAUACAAAAAUUAGCUGGGCGUAGUAGUGCAGCUCUGCAAUUCCAGCUACUUGGGAGGCUGAGGCAGGAGGAUCACUUGAACCUGGGAGGCAGAGGCUGCAGUUAGCCAAGGUUGCGCCACUGCACUCUAGCCUGGGCAGCAGAGUAAGACUCCGUUUCAAAAGAAAAAAAAAGCCGGGCACAGUGGCUCAUGCCUGUAAUCCCAGCACUGUGGGAGGCCAAGGCAGGCGGAUCACCUGAGGUCAGGAGUUCGAGUCCAGCCUGGCCAACAUGGUGAAACUAAAAUACAAAAAUUAGCUAGGCGUGGUGGCGGGCGCCUGUAAUCCCAGCUACUCAGGAGGCUGAGGCACGAGAAUCACUUGAACCCGGGAGGCAGAGGUUGCAGUGAACCAAGAUCGUGCCAUUCAUUGCACUCCAGCCUGGACCACAAGAGCGAAAACUCCGUCUCAAAAAAGAAGAGGCUCCAGUAAACAGUAAAUACCAUUCUUACCUAUUCUGAAUAAUUUUGCAAAUGUUAUUUUAGAUUAUUGCUAGAAAACAGCUGAGCUUUAAACUAUAUUUUAGUCUCCAUUCCAUGAAGAGGCUCUUUAAUUCCAAAAGUUAAAACAUUACUCUAAAACCCUCCGAAGUAAAGUUAACCAUAUGACAGAACAAUGUCUUUCUAUCUCGUCAUCUUUUAUCCUCGUUACUGCUAUUUGCGCUCACCAAUAUUCCACACCAACUAAGGCCCCAAUUUCUCUGAUGUGAAGAUUUACUGACAAACUCAACAGGUUAAAAUUACUUAUCAAAGUGUGACUAAGUGAUGAAGAUUUCUUUUAAUACAACUGGUAUGAGUAAAUUUUAACAUAGUUGGUGCUGCUCAAACUGCCUUUGCCACUACCUAUACAAAUUUAGGCCCGACUGAAACGUGCCAAACAUGACCAUUCACGAAAAGAAAGAGUAAUUAACACUUUUAAAAGAACUACAAAGGAUUUUACAUAGUAUAAUUCAACAAUUUCGUGUCACAUCUGCUGCAGAGACCACAAACAUUGUCACUAUGCCAUCUCCUUCCUCGAACCCCCACACCGCCUCCUGCAGCUUUAUUCUUGGCCUUUCAAAGGUUUAAUCCACUCGGUGCUGCUAAAGGAGGAAUCAAGGAAGCAUAAUUUGUGAACCCAAGCUGAGAAAAGGGCAGGAAUACGGGGUUGAGUCACGUCGUUCCGCCAUUUUCUAAGCGGAGGAGGAAGACAUGUUGGAACAAAAACACAACAAAAGAGCAGCCAUUUCCCAAGCCAGCUCCAAUAGCAACUCGAACUGACACUGCCGGGUCGCUUCGGCACCUUCAAAUCCACUUCACUGGACAAACCUAAGUACAUCAGAAGUGCCGCCGUAAAAAAGGCAGCAGCCAACCCUUCCGCGUAGGGAUCAAAGAUGACCUGCACGCAUAACUGCAAAUGAAAGCCUCGGGAAGAGAGAGAAUGACGGUAGCGAAAUGGAGCAGUGUAAUACAAUGAAAUAAGUUGGCAAACUGAAAUUUACUCAGUAAUUGACAUGACUGACUUACAGGAAACCACCAGCUAUAGGGAACCCAGGUAACUAAAACACCAAGACCCGGAUUCAGCUGGUCUCAUUAACUGCCUCUACCCACUUCCCCAUUCCGUGGUUCCCUCAGCGGAUCGCCUAUAUGCACCGGGUUCUUACCGUAUGUGGGGGAUGCCAACCCCACCUUGAAGAAUCUUAUAGAGCUUGCUCUCGUACAGCAACUGGGGAUGCCUGGCCUUCUGAGAUUCUAGCUUCACUGCCACUUCCUGCAGGGGAAAGAGGGGAUGAUGGCAUCAACAUCCCUACGGAUUCAAUGUCACUUAGGAAAGGAGGGAGACAUCAGCAAAACUCCAAGUCGCGACUACAAGGAAGAAGUGAAAAGCUGGAAAGCGAAAGCUCUCGGUAAUUAUAAAACGAGGCAACCAGCCUCAAAGGCCUCUUCAGGGGGUUGUGACGAAAUCCGUACGUCCUCUAAAGUGCAGGAAAAUGAUUCAUCCAGAAAAAAGAGGCAACCUCUGAACGUAGUGAGAGGUUUUUAAGGAACUAGGCGAUCGGAAAUUGUUCUAAUUGGAACAAGAGGCCCAGUAGAAUUAAAAAUUAAAAAAAAAAAAACCAUGGGAAUCACAGAACGAGGAUUUUGCCGUUUCCACCUUAAAAGAUGGUUAAAAAAAAAAAAAGCUCAACUAAGGGACAUUUAUGGGACGUGUUUAACAAGCUGGGAAACUAGUUCCCCCAACCUUUCUAUCGGGUUCUUGACCCUUUUAGGGAGACAGCGGGCGAGGUUCGUAAGCCAGGAAAACUAGCUCCCUGGACUCCCUGGCGAGUGCGUGCGACGAGAAGAGGCCCGAGCACUUUGGGGGUGCGCGGUGGUGGUGGGGGGAAUGAGGAAAAGCGCAGCGUUAUCGUGAACCCCACCCCAGAUGAUUACCUCGCCGUUAGUGAUGUUGAUCGCCAAAUAGAUGUCCCCGAAGGAGCCAGACCCGAUCUUCCGUACCAGUUUAUAUUUCCCUCCGACAAUGAAUUCGGCCUUGGAACCGCUGCUACUCGCCAUCCUGAGAGACGAAGAUGGAGGCUGGGGCCAAGCCCCGACACCUCUGGGAAGAGGACGGAGGCCUCUGGGGCUCCUACACUAGGCAAGGCUACGGAGGAAGUCGGCAGGAAACGGAACACGGAGGCCUUUACCAGCGUUCGGGGCCCAGAAUCAGCAGAGGGGAGCCUGAUCACCGCCGCCCAGUCAGGUUUCUUUUUGCCAGGCCGCAGUUUGUGAAGGGCUUCUCAGCGGUUACCAGGCUGGGCCACUUGUUUCUCGGCGGCCGCCGCUGCCUCGCUUGCGCGGCGACGUCGCGGGCUGGAAAAGGGGCGCGGUGAGCUAGGGCGGCGAUACCGCUGCCACCACUGCCGCCGGCUCCGGCCCAGAGGGACCCCUGUCACUCCGCCGACGACGCCAUCUUGUUACUCCAGCUCCAGCCAACACAAAAUGCCCCCAGUCCCUGGGAGCCGCUUCUUCACGGCGCAGAGCACUCUGGGAAAGGGAUCUCGGGCGCUCACUCCGAAGGAUCGGCAGCGAGAGGGCGGAACCGGAUCCGUGAGAGUCGCGGCCCACGCUCCGAGCGUCACCCUGUCACCGCCCAGCUGCGCAUGAGCGCUGUAACUCCUGCUGACUGCGCAGGCGUGCCGCGGCCUGUCCUCACCCGGUCCCAGGCUCUCUUCCACUUCCGGUCGGCGGCGGCUCAGCCGGUGUUACCUGUCACUCGCCUCGGACCCGCCGGGUCUCUGGAAGGCUGAGUGGCCCCCAGGCCUCGAUAUUGGGAGGAGUCACCUUCAUGUUUCAUGGCAGAUGAAAGCUUAAGGCCUCCUUAGGAGUUGGGAGGGGAAAAAAGAAAGAAGCCGGAAUCCCCCUGCCAUCCUAUGACUUUGCAUUAUUGCCUCACUACCACAUUUGAUCUUCAGAAGAAAACCUGGCAUAUUGUUCAUAAUGAAGAUUAAGGAUAGAUGGAAUCAACAGAAAAUUAAUUAAACAAGAGUGAAAAAACUGUUAUGUCCCCCCAACCCCAUCAAAAAAAUAAAUAAAUAAAAAGAAUCGUAUGUUGGUCAUGUUGAAAACCGCAGUAUUAACCUGAACAGAGUAGAGGUAACUAUUACAAAAUUUAAUUGACAACAUUUAAAACUACACGGUAAUUUUUUUUCUUUUUUACUAAAAAUCGAUCAGAGAAUCCAAUUUUGACCACGUUUUGUUUUACAAAAUUUGACCUGGGAAAAUUGGGCUUAGUAAUAAUAAUGUUCACGAAA
This is a long non-coding RNA of Pongo pygmaeus (Bornean orangutan), 4188 nucleotides long. RefSeq lists it as uncharacterized. The transcript is spliced from 3 exons. NCBI's taxonomy places the organism in Eukaryota, Metazoa, Chordata, Mammalia, Primates, Hominidae. The record is from RefSeq and is a predicted model, not a curated record.